CGCGGGAUGGAGCAGUUGGCAGCUCGUCGGGCUCAUAACCCGAAGGUCGUAGGUUCGAGUCCUGCUCCCGCAA
This 73-nucleotide transfer RNA is filed under the name Natranaerovirga pectinivora. RNAcentral's name for it is "Clostridiales bacterium AP3 tRNA". It matches the Rfam family "tRNA". From Rfam's summary of the family: Transfer RNA (tRNA) molecules are approximately 80 nucleotides in length. Their secondary structure includes four short double-helical elements and three loops (D, anti-codon, and T loops). Lineage: Bacteria; Bacillati; Bacillota; Clostridia; Lachnospirales; Natranaerovirgaceae. The record is from Rfam by way of RNAcentral.